GAGAAUGGACUUGCCGUGCGUGUGGUGUCACGCACGACCGCGAUGUAAAUGCGGCCAAGAACAUUCUUGCGCUCGGGCAUGAGCGUCCUGCAGAGGGAAUCCCCGUCCUUUAGGGCGGGGAGGAUGUCAAUUACUUCUGUUCU
RNAcentral lists this unclassified non-coding RNA (143 nucleotides) under Allopseudospirillum japonicum. RNAcentral describes it as "Pseudospirillum japonicum HgcC family RNA". Lineage: Bacteria; Pseudomonadati; Pseudomonadota; Gammaproteobacteria; Oceanospirillales; Oceanospirillaceae. The record is from RNAcentral.